GUGGCUCACUUUGGCAGCACCUACUCUAAAAUUGGAAUGAUAAAGAGAUUAUUAUGGCCCCUGCACAAGAAUGACAUGCAACUCUGUGAAGCGUUCCAUAAAACA
This 105-nucleotide small nuclear RNA is filed under the name Ursus americanus (American black bear). Lineage: Eukaryota; Metazoa; Chordata; Mammalia; Carnivora; Ursidae. The record is from RNAcentral.